Molecule: transfer RNA, 56 nt
Filed under: Ictidomys tridecemlineatus (thirteen-lined ground squirrel)
Lineage: Eukaryota; Metazoa; Chordata; Mammalia; Rodentia; Sciuridae
Description: Spermophilus tridecemlineatus (thirteen-lined ground squirrel) tRNA
Rfam family: tRNA
About the family: Transfer RNA (tRNA) molecules are approximately 80 nucleotides in length. Their secondary structure includes four short double-helical elements and three loops (D, anti-codon, and T loops). Further hydrogen bonds mediate the characteristic L-shaped molecular structure. tRNAs have two regions of fundamental functional importance: the anti-codon, which is responsible for specific mRNA codon recognition, and the 3' end, to which the tRNAs corresponding amino acid is attached (by aminoacyl-tRNA synthetases). tRNAs cope with the degeneracy of the genetic code in two manners: having more than one tRNA (with a specific anti-codon) for a particular amino acid; and 'wobble' base-pairing, i.e. permitting non-standard base-pairing at the 3rd anti-codon position.
Source: Rfam by way of RNAcentral
AGCUCAGUGGUAGAGUGCUUGUCUACCAUGCAUGAGGUCCUGGGUUUGAUUCCCAG